RNAcentral lists this ribosomal RNA (489 nucleotides) under uncultured bacterium. Its description in RNAcentral is "bacterial SSU rRNA". It matches the Rfam family "Bacterial small subunit ribosomal RNA", at positions 28 to 507 of the family's 1533-position model. The record is from RNAcentral.
GAUGAACGCUAGCUACAGGCUUAACACAUGCAAGUCGAGGGGCAGCAUGUCGGUUGCUUGCAACCGAUGAUGGCGACCGGCGCACGGGUGAGUAACGCGUAUCCAACCUACCCUUGUCCAUCGGAUAACCCGUCGAAAGGCGGCCUAACACGAUAUGCGGUUCACAGCAGGCAUCUAACGAGAACGAAAUGUGAAGGAGAAGGAUGGGGGAUGCGUCUGAUUAGCUUGUUGGCGGGGUAACGGCCCACCAAGGCGACGAUCAGUAGGGGUUCUGAGAGGAAGGUCCCCCACAUUGGAACUGAGACACGGUCCAAACUCCUACGGGAGGCAGCAGUGGGGAAUAUUGGUCAAUGGGCGAGAGCCUGAACCAGCCAAGUAGCGUGCAGGACGACGGCCCUAUGGGUUGUAAACUGCUUUUAUAAGGGAAUAAAGUGAGUCUCGUGAGACUUUUUGCAUGUACCUUAUGAAUAAGGACCGGCUAAUUCCGUG